GGGUUGUGAGGUUAAGCGACUAAGCGUACACGGUGGAUGCCCUGGCAGUCAGAGGCGAUGAAGGACGUGCUAAUCUGCGAUAAGCGCCGGUAAGGUGAUAUGAACCGUUAUAACCGGCGAUUUCCGAAUGGGGAAACCCAGUGUGACUCGUCACACUAUCAUUAACUGAAUCCAUAGGUUAAUGAGGCGAACCGGGGGAACUGAAACAUCUAAGUACCCCGAGGAAAAGAAAUCAACCGAGAUUCCCCCAGUAGCGGCGAGCGAACGGGGAGGAGCCCAGAGCCUGAAUCAGCAUGUGUGUUAGUGGAAGCGUCUGGAAAGGCGCGCGAUACAGGGUGACAGCCCCGUACACAAAAGCGCAUGUGCUGUGAGCUCGAUGAGUAGGGCGGGACACGUGGUAUCCUGUCUGAAUAUGGGGGGACCAUCCUCCAAGGCUAAAUACUCCUGACUGACCGAUAGUGAACCAGUACCGUGAGGGAAAGGCGAAAAGAACCCCGGCGAGGGGAGUGAAAAAGAACCUGAAACCGUGUACGUACAAGCAGUGGGAGCCCCACCACCAAAGCAUUUGCUGUACCGCGUUGACGGAGCGAAGCGACGUCAAACCGAUAAAACAGCAGUGUAAAGUGAGCCGCAGGGCGCUUUGCGCGACAGCGCAAAGGCAGGCGGUUUCGCGUAGCGAAAGCGAAUGCUUUGGGGUGGGGUGACUGCGUACCUUUUGUAUAAUGGGUCAGCGACUUAUAUUCUGUAGCAAGGUUAACCGAAUAGGGGAGCCGGAGGGAAACCGAGUCUUAAUUGGGCGUUAAGUUGCAGGGUAUAGACCCGAAACCCGGUGAUCUAGCCAUGGGCAGGUUGAAGGUUGGGUAACACUAACUGGAGGACCGAACCGACUAAUGUUGAAAAAUUAGCGGAUGACCUGUGGCUGGGGGUGAAAGGCCAAUCAAACCGGGAGAUAGCUGGUUCUCCCCGAAAGCUAUUUAGGUAGCGCCUCGUGAAUUCAUCUCCGGGGGUAGAGCACUGUUUCGGCUAGGGGGCCAUCCCGGCUUACCAACCCGAUGCAAACUGCGAAUACCGGAGAAUGUUAUCACGGGAGACACACGGCGGGUGCUAACGUCCGUCGUGAAGAGGGAAACAACCCAGACCGCCAGCUAAGGUCCCAAAGUCAUGGUUAAGUGGGAAACGAUGUGGGAAGGCCCAGACAGCCAGGAUGUUGGCUUAGAAGCAGCCAUCAUUUAAAGAAAGCGUAAUAGCUCACUGGUCGAGUCGGCCUGCGCGGAAGAUGUAACGGGGCUAAACCAUGCACCGAAGCUGCGGCAGCGAACGUAUCACUUAAAGCGAUUCAGCGGGUUACGAUUGACGGAGCGAAGCGACGUCAAAGCGUAUACAAAGUCGAGUCGGUUUAAGGAUACGUUCGUUGGGUAGGGGAGCGUUCUGUAAGCCCGUGAAGGUGGCCUGUGAGGGUUGCUGGAGGUAUCAGAAGUGCGAAUGCUGACAUAAGUAACGAUAAAGCGGGUGAAAAGCCCGCUCGCCGGAAGACCAAGGGUUCCUGUCCAACGUUAAUCGGGGCAGGGUGAGUCGACCCCUAAGGC
This 1586-nucleotide ribosomal RNA is filed under the name Salmonella enterica subsp. enterica serovar Kisangani. RNAcentral's name for it is "partial 23S ribosomal RNA". It matches the Rfam family "Bacterial large subunit ribosomal RNA", at positions 1 to 1397 of the family's 2925-position model. Lineage: Bacteria; Pseudomonadati; Pseudomonadota; Gammaproteobacteria; Enterobacterales; Enterobacteriaceae. The record is from RNAcentral.